This 253-nucleotide ribosomal RNA is filed under the name uncultured bacterium. RNAcentral's name for it is "partial 16S ribosomal RNA". It matches the Rfam family "Bacterial small subunit ribosomal RNA", at positions 524 to 776 of the family's 1533-position model. The record is from RNAcentral.
UACAGAGGGUGCGAGCGUUAAUCGGAGUUACUGGGCGUAAAGCGCGCGUAGGCGGCCCGGUAAGUCCGCUGUGAAAGUCAAAGGCUCAACCUUUGAAUGUCAGCGGAUACUGCCGGGCUAGAGUCCGGAAGAGGCGAGUGGAACUCCUGGUGUAGCGGUGGAAUGCGCAGAUAUCAGGAAGAACACCAACGGCGAAGGCAGCUCGCUGGGACGGAACUGACGCUAAGGCGCGAAAGCGUGGGGAGCGAACAGG